AUUAAACGCUGGCGGCAUGCCUUACACAUGCAAGUCGAACGGCAGCACGGGGGCAACCCUGGUGGCGAGUGGCGAACGGGUGAGUAAAGCAUCGGAACGUGCCCUGGAGUGGGGGAUAACGUAGCGAAAGUUACGCUAAUACCGCAUAUUCCGUGAGCAGGAAAGCAGGGGAUCGCAAGACCUUGCGCUCUGGGAGCGGCCGAUGUCGGAUUAGCUAGUUGGUGGGGUAAAGGCCUACCAAGGCGACGAUCCGUAGCGGGUCUGAGAGGAUGAUCCGCCACACUGGGACUGAGACACGGCCCAGACUCCUACGGGAGGCAGCAGUGGGGAAUUUUGGACAAUGGGCGAAAGCCUGAUCCAGCCAUGCCGCGUGAGUGAAGAAGGCCU
This 387-nucleotide ribosomal RNA is filed under the name uncultured bacterium. RNAcentral describes it as "bacterial SSU rRNA". It matches the Rfam family "Bacterial small subunit ribosomal RNA", at positions 29 to 417 of the family's 1533-position model. The record is from RNAcentral.